AAUAUUGGACAAUGGGGGCAACCCUGAUCCAGUCAUGCCGCGUGUGUUAAGAAGGUCAUCGGAUUGUAAAUCACUUUAAGUUGGGAGGAAGGGCUCUAGGUUAAUACCCUGAAGUUCUGACGUCCGCAACCUAAUAAGCACCGGCUAACUCAGUGUCAGCCGCCGCGGUAAUACAGAGGGUGCAAGUGUUAGUCGGAAUUACUGGGGGUAAAGCGCGGGUAGGUGGUUAAGUAAGGUGGGUGUGAAAUCCCCGGGCUUAACCUGGGAACUGCUUUCAUAACUGCUGAGCUAGAGUACGGUAGAGGGUAGUGGAAUUUCCUGUGUAGCGGUGAAAUGCGUAGAUAUAGGAAGGAACACCAGUGGCGAAGGCGACUACCUGGACUGAUACUGACACUGAGGUGCGAAAGCGUGGGGAGCAAAC
Molecule: ribosomal RNA, 421 nt
Filed under: uncultured bacterium
Lineage: Bacteria
Description: partial 16S ribosomal RNA
Rfam family: Bacterial small subunit ribosomal RNA
Source: RNAcentral